Long non-coding RNA from Toxorhynchites rutilus septentrionalis, 2104 nucleotides. RefSeq lists it as uncharacterized. The transcript is spliced from 4 exons. Lineage: Eukaryota; Metazoa; Arthropoda; Insecta; Diptera; Culicidae. The record is from RefSeq and is a predicted model, not a curated record.
CUGAUGUCAGAUGUAAUGUACAUCCCUACCAGAGAUUCGUACAUUUUACUUCAUGCCAUUUGUAACCUUCAAUGUUUUCAUUCCUAGCGACUGUGAAGUGCGCACUUCGUAAUCGCCAUUUUUUUGUGGAAGCGAAGCAAUUCGGAGAUAUUCCGAAAUAUACUCAUUUUGGACGACGUUUCUUCUAUUCUACUACUGAUAGAAGCAUUUCCAUUUGCGAUCAAUCGUAAACGAACAUUUUACAACAGCCAUGAUUCGAUGCUAAUAUUUGGCGACUAUAUAACUAUACAAACUAGGGAAAGGAAGAACCAAUAACGAUUCACCAUCCGGAGGAUGACAUGGAACAUGAAGAACGUCAGAACUGUCGAUUGAAGGCAGUUUGACAUAUGCUUUGACCAUUCAGUUGCUGUAACAUUAGUUGUACAGUAAGUGCACAUCACACAAGAACCGAUUACGUGCUCUGUGCAAUCAUCAGGAUCUGUUCCAGGAGGAGAGUGUUGAAUUUGAUACUGGAAAGCAUCGACAAAAUCAAUGUCUUAUCGUCACUAGGUUCCAUGGUUUCCUCCUGGCUAAUGAUGAAAAAGUUGGGAGUCGAUAUCCGGAUAUCUGUUCCAACUACUAGCGGUUAUCAUCAAGGAAAACUCAGUUUGCUAACUCAAAUCAUUUUAAUUGGCUCAUCCCCCAUCUUGGAACGCAAGCAGCUAGUAAGGACUCCGGAUCGAUUCGUAAAUAUCUCGCCUCUCGAGAACCAUAAUCGUGCUCCGAUGAUUUUAUAUGUGUUGUGUUCACUGUGCGUUGGUAAUGGUCGGUAUGGUUGGUUGGUCGGUAAUCCUAAUAUCCUCGUUCAUCGUGUUGAGGAAUCUGGGGUGUACCAGAAGUGUUACUUUGAAAUUACUAUGGACCAUAACGGACAAACGUGCACAAACAUGACACCGCCUUUGCGAAUUAAUUGGGCCAAUACUGCUGAAUAUGUUGAGGAUGUAAAAAUGGGGCGAAAAUGACGUUGGUAAUAAUUUGUAUACUCAUGAUUCCGGACGUGACAAAACUAUUCAUCGCAAAAGGAAUGGAAUUGCACGCUAGAUCUCAGCGUCUCGGUGAUACGGUUUAUGUUCAAUGGAGAGCCAAUGCAUGUUUGAUUUUAAUCUAACUGGAAUGUUUUUUUCCGGUGAUGAGCUGCUCGUCGAAGCUAAGUUGUCAAUUUUAUUUUGGUUUCCGCGUUUCUGUCUGCGAUAUUGAACCCUAAGAUGGAAGAAUUCGGCGAUCUGCUGGUCGAGAGCACUCACAACUUGUGAGACAAAGAGCGAAUUCAACAAAGUUAAACAAAGACAACGAAAACCAUCGUAGCUCCCAUUCAGUUCCGUACAGCAUAUACGGCUAUGGCGACUAUCAGAAAGCUGUUGAUCUAUGGAUACAAUUUGGACCAACAAACUGGUGAGACGAAUGAGCCCCUUGCGGCGGAAGCAUUCAGACAGAACUUCGCAACCAUCAGAACGCACCUAGCGGAGAAGACGUAUGCUGUUAUGUCAAGAAAGACAUACUUUUAGUUUGAGGACUGCAAUUCCGAAACGAUGUUGGGGAAUGAUGAUCCAUCGUGUGCUUUUGAUGGCUACAAUAUAAGCAUGAGCACAAAUAUCGAAUCCGAUUGUUCAAUACGACCAAUCACGACCCCUCAAUUCAAUGUAGUCGUUCUGUUACAAGAAAACAAGCCCCAAAUUCCUACUGAAGACACAUUUCUACUGCCUCACCAAGAGCAAAUCACAUAGAUGGUUGCCGAAAAAUUUCAAAUGUAAGUUUAUAUGAACCCCCUUCUUCAAAAUCUGGGGCAUUCCAGAGCGUCACAAUUAAAUGGGCAAGUAAACUACACCUGCGCAGGGUCGAAGAUUUCGGUAGGCGAUACCUGGUCGGAGACGUAAUCGUUUUCUUCAUAAAUAUCCACGACAAGAUCAGCACGAGAGGAAUAAAUACGAACUAAGAGUACUAGGUACUGGUGUCAUCGACUUCCUGCUAAUCAGCGCCCCAUGCUCUAGAGGCAGCGAUGCAGUAGAAGGAGUUAUUGCGACGAGAAUUAUUGUUGUUUUCAUAUUUUACAAUGUUUUUUUUUAUU